GACGAACGCUGGCGGCGUGCCUAAUACAUGCAAGUUGAGCGAUGAAGAUUGGUGCUUGCACCAAUUUGAAGAGCAGCGAACGGGUGAGUAACGCGUGGGGAAUCUGCCUUUGAGCGGGGGACAACAUUUGGAAACGAAUGCUAAUACCGCGUAACAACUUUAAACAUAAGUUUUAAGUUUGAAAGAUGCAAUUGCAUCACUCAAAGAUGAUCCCGCGUUGUAUUAGCUAGUUGGUGAGGUAAAGGCUCACCAAGGCGAUGAUACAUAGCCGACCUGAGAGGGUGAUCGGCCACAUUGGGACUGAGACACGGCCCAAACUCCUACGGGAGGCAGCAGUAGGGAAUCUUCGGCAAUGGACGAAAGUCUGACCGAGCAACGCCGCGUGAGUGAAGAAGGUUUUCGGAUCGUAAAACUCUGUUGGUAGAGAAGAACGUUGGUGAGAGUGGAAAGCUCAUCAAGUGACGGUAACUACCCAGAAAGGGACGGCUAACUACGUG
Molecule: ribosomal RNA, 497 nt
Filed under: uncultured bacterium
Lineage: Bacteria
Description: partial 16S ribosomal RNA
Rfam family: Bacterial small subunit ribosomal RNA
Source: RNAcentral